RNAcentral lists this ribosomal RNA (254 nucleotides) under uncultured bacterium. RNAcentral describes it as "partial 16S ribosomal RNA". It matches the Rfam family "Bacterial small subunit ribosomal RNA", at positions 524 to 776 of the family's 1533-position model. The record is from RNAcentral.
UACGUAGGGUGCGAGCGUUGUCCGGAAUUAUUGGGCGUAAAGCGCUCGUAGGCGGUGUGUCGCGUCGGUCGUGAAAACUUGGGGCUUAACCCUGAGCUUGCGGUCGAUACGGGCAUCACUGGAGUUCGGCAGGGGAGACUGGAAUUCCUGGUGUAGCGGUGAAAUGCGCAGAUAUCAGGAGGAACACCGGUGGCGAAGGCGGGUCUCUGGGCCGAUACUGACGCUGAGGAGCGAAAGCGUGGGGAGCGAACAGG